UUUUUAUGAUACAACCUUUAUAUAUAAUAUUCCCCAGUAAUGUCUCACUCCCAUGUGUUGACAUGAAGUGUACAUAAUCAAUGUUUUCAAGUAAUACAUUUAAAUUUUGAGUAAAAGCAUAUGAAACAAAAGAAUGUGAAGUAUUAGUAUCAAUUAAAACAUAUGCAAGGUGGUUGCAGAUAGUAUACUUAUCUUGUAUUAUAUCUGGGUUGGCUUCAGCAUCCUGUUGGGUGAGUGUAUAGACUCUGCUCUGAACUGCGAGUCUAGCCUAAUUAUGAUUUUGCAGACUCUCUAUUGCGUAGUGAUGAGCACUUCCACAUAUGCGGCAGGUGUUGGUGAGACGAUAGUAAAGUCGGUCUCCAUGAUCCUUGCCACAGUGUUGGCAACCCUUGUCGCAUUCUGUUACGAGGCCUAGGAAGGAGCUUGAGUUGUGGGUCUUGGUCUCUUGUUCUGCUAGUUCAGUGUAGUAAGUAUUGGCCUGGAUGUGGAACCGGGAGUCUGGAGUUGCCCAUUGCUGGGGAAAAAUGCGGAGGUUCCUCUCUAUCAAUUGUGCCUUGUCCAAGACUGCUGAAUAUGUGCUGAGCUCGAAGACAUAAAACUGUUGUCUGACCCUAGGACGGAGAUCCCACUCAAACCUUUUUGUCUUCCUGCCUUCAUUUAUUAUGCUCUCAGGAAAUUAUCGGCCUAACUUCAAGAAUUUUCGAGCAUAUUCUGAUACUGACAAAUCUCCCUAGACUAAGGUCCAGAUAGAAAAUUUUAUCUCCUUCAAAUGUCGGAGGUAUUCUGGAAGGUACUCAACAUUGAAGGUUGUCAGAAACUGUUAUCAGGUGACUGGAGUGGAUAGAGUAGCUUGCUUCAGUUGCCACCAACGCCCUGCCUCACCUACAAGCAUGUAAGUGGUAAGAAUAACCUUAUGUUCGGGAACUACUCCAAGGGUUGCGAAGGCUUUCUCUAUCUCUACUAAUCAGUAUUCAGCUUCUUCAAAAGUGGAUAUCCCUGUAAAAGUAGAUGAAUUGAGUCUCUUGUACCUCUCGAUGUAGUUUGAGUCCAUCGUGGGUGGAGUUGGAUCCUGUUGAAGGGAAACUGGAUUAUGCUGGAGAGGAACCGGGUAGCCUUGUGGCGGCACCUAGUUGUAUGGUGGAGGCACCGAAUUGUAUUAUGACGGUGUCGGAUGAUACUGUGGAGGAGCAGAGUUUUACCGUGGUGGUACUAGAUCCUCUCGGUGUGGAGGUGGCUUAUACUGUGGUAGUGGUGGAGGGGGAUCAGGCAACUCCUUUCUCUCCUCCCUAGCCUACUAGACAAAGAUGAAUCUCCCAAGCAUUUUGAAGAGCCGAUCAACAUCCUCCCGAAGUGAUCCUUCUCGAGCUGCUCUAUUUAACGGGGGUCUUCCUCUUCUCAUGUUUUUGUACCUACAUUUCAUAACAAAGGUUUGAGAUUUGGGUUGCAUUGAAUUACUCUAAUCCUAUGUUCAAGGAAUGGUUUCGAGAAACGCAGCUCUGAUACCAACUGUAAAAACUCAAAAUUAGGGAAUUAAAAUAAUAGUGAAAUUUAUUAAUUAGCGGAAGCAACUUAGAGUUUAG
This 1580-nucleotide long non-coding RNA is filed under the name Carica papaya (papaya). Its description in RNAcentral is "long non-coding RNA (CPAP_LNC006481)". Lineage: Eukaryota; Viridiplantae; Streptophyta; Magnoliopsida; Brassicales; Caricaceae. The record is from RNAcentral.